Molecule: ribosomal RNA, 253 nt
Filed under: uncultured bacterium
Lineage: Bacteria
Description: partial 16S ribosomal RNA
Rfam family: Bacterial small subunit ribosomal RNA
Source: RNAcentral
UACGAAAGGGGCUAGCGUUGCUCGGAAUCACUGGGCGUAAAGCGCACGUAGGCGGCUUUUUAAGUCAGGGGUGAAAUCCUGGAGCUCAACUCCAGAACUGCCUUUGAUACUGGGAAGCUUGAGUCCGGGAGAGGUGAGUGGAACUCCGAGUGUAGAGGUGAAAUUCGUAGAUAUUCGGAAGAACACCAGUGGCGAAGGCGGCUCACUGGCCCGGUACUGACGCUGAGGUGCGAAAGCGUGGGGAGCAAACAGG